GAGUUUGAUCUUGGCUCAGGACGAACGCUGGCGGCGUGCUUAACACAUGCAAGUCGAGCGGUAAGGCUCCAGCUUGCUGGGGUACACGAGUGGCGAACGGGUGAGUAACACGUGGGUGACCUGCCCUGCACUUCGGGAUAAGCCUGGGAAACUGGGUCUAAUACCGGAUAGGACCGCACCGUGAGGGUGUGGUGGAAAGUUUUUUCGGUGUGGGAUGGGCCCGCGGCCUAUCAGCUUGUUGGUGGGGUAAUGGCCUACCAAGGCGGCGACGGGCAGCCGGCCUGAGAGGGUGGACGGCCACAUUGGGACUGAGACACGGCCCAGACUCCUACGGGAGGCAGCAGUGGGGAAUAUUACACAAUGGGCGGAAGCCUGAUGCAGCGACGCCGCGUGGGGGAGUGACGGCC
RNAcentral lists this ribosomal RNA (407 nucleotides) under uncultured microorganism. Its description in RNAcentral is "bacterial SSU rRNA". It matches the Rfam family "Bacterial small subunit ribosomal RNA", at positions 9 to 416 of the family's 1533-position model. The record is from RNAcentral.